UACGGAGGGGGCUAGUGUUGUUCGGAAUUACUGGGCGUAAAGGGCGCGCAGGCGGCUUGGCAAGUCGAGUGUGAAAUCCCUUGGCUUAACUAAGGAAUGGCGCUCGAAACUACCUCGCUAGAGGACGGGAGAGGGAUGUGGAAUUCCAGGUGUAGCGGUGAAAUGCGUAGAUAUCUGGAGGAACAUCGGUGGCGAAGGCGGCAUCCUGGACCGGUAUUGACGCUGAGGCGCGAAAGCCAGGGGAGCAAACGGG
Molecule: ribosomal RNA, 253 nt
Filed under: uncultured bacterium
Lineage: Bacteria
Description: partial 16S ribosomal RNA
Rfam family: Bacterial small subunit ribosomal RNA
Source: RNAcentral